Molecule: ribosomal RNA, 443 nt
Filed under: uncultured bacterium
Lineage: Bacteria
Description: partial 16S ribosomal RNA
Rfam family: Bacterial small subunit ribosomal RNA
Source: RNAcentral
CCUACGGGAGGCAGCAGUGGGGAAUAUUGGGCAAUGGAGGCAACGCUGACCCAGCAACGCCGCGUGAAUGAUGAAGGUCUUCGGAUUGUAAAGUUCUUUUCUAAGGGAAGAAGAAAGUGACGGUACCUUAGGAAUAAGCCUCGGCUAACUACGUGCCAGCAGCCGCGGUAAUACGUAGGAGGCAAGCGUUAUCCGGAAUGACUGGGCGUAAAGGGUGCGUAGGUGGUUUGACAAGUUAGUAGCGCAACUCCGGGGCUCAACUUCGGAACUACUACUAAAACUGUUGGACUUGAGUGCAGGAGGGGCAAUCGGAAUUCCUAGUGUAGCGGUGGAAUGCGUAGAUAUUAGGAGGAACACCAGUGGCGAAGGCGGAUUGCUAGACUGUAACUGACACUGAGGCACGAAAGCGUGGGGAGCAAACAGGAUUAGAUACCCGUGUAGUC